UACGGAGGAUGCGAGCGUUAUCCGGAUUUAUUGGGUUUGAAGGGUGCGUAGGCGGAUCGUUAAGUCAGUGGUCAAAUUGAGGGGCUCAACCCCUUCCCGCCAUUGAAACUGGCGAUCUUGAGUGGAAGAGAAGUAUGCGGAAUGCGUGGUGUAGCGGUGAAAUGCAUAGAUAUCACGCAGAACCCCGAUUGCGAAGGCAGCAUGCCGGCUUCCUACUGACGCUGAAGCACGAAAGCGUGGGGAUCGAACAGG
RNAcentral lists this ribosomal RNA (252 nucleotides) under uncultured bacterium. Its description in RNAcentral is "partial 16S ribosomal RNA". It matches the Rfam family "Bacterial small subunit ribosomal RNA", at positions 524 to 776 of the family's 1533-position model. The record is from RNAcentral.